AUUGAACGCUGGCGGCAUGCCUUACACAUGCAAGUCGAACGGCAGCACGGGAGCAAUCCUGGUGGCGAGUGGCGAACGGGUGAGUAAUAUAUCGGAACGUGCCCGGUCGUGGGGAUAACGUAGCGAAAGCUACGCUAAUACCGCAUACGAUCUACGGAUGAAAGCGGGGGAUCGCAAGACCUCGCGCGAUUGGAGCGGCCGAUAUCAGAUUAGGUAGUUGGUGAGGUAAAGGCUCACCAAGCCGACGAUCUGUAGCUGGUCUGAGAGGACGACCAGCCACACUGGGACUGAGACACGGCCCAGACUCCUACGGGAGGCAGCAGUGGGGGAAUUUUGGACAAUGGGCGCAAGCCUGAUCCAGCAAUGCCGCGUGCAGGAUGAAGGGCCUUCGGGUUGUAAACUAGCUUUGUUACGGAACGAACGGUGAGGCUCUAA
Molecule: ribosomal RNA, 435 nt
Filed under: uncultured bacterium
Lineage: Bacteria
Description: bacterial SSU rRNA
Rfam family: Bacterial small subunit ribosomal RNA
Source: RNAcentral